Molecule: transfer RNA, 75 nt
Filed under: Camelus bactrianus (Bactrian camel)
Lineage: Eukaryota; Metazoa; Chordata; Mammalia; Artiodactyla; Camelidae
Also listed under: 1 other name
Rfam family: tRNA
About the family: Transfer RNA (tRNA) molecules are approximately 80 nucleotides in length.
Source: Rfam by way of RNAcentral
AGGGGUAUAGCUCAAUGGUAGAGUAUAUGUUUAGCAUUUAGCAUUGAAUCCUGGAUUCAAUACCCAGUACCUCCA